Molecule: ribosomal RNA, 465 nt
Filed under: Vreelandella stevensii
Lineage: Bacteria; Pseudomonadati; Pseudomonadota; Gammaproteobacteria; Oceanospirillales; Halomonadaceae
Description: partial 16S ribosomal RNA
Rfam family: Bacterial small subunit ribosomal RNA
Source: RNAcentral
CCUACGGGGGGCAGCAGUGGGGAAUAUUGGACAAUGGGCGAAAGCCUGAUCCAGCCAUGCCGCGUGUGUGAAGAAGGCCUUCGGGUUGUAAAGCACUUUCAGUGGGGAAGAAAGCCUUGGGGCUAAUACCCUCGAGGAAGGACAUCACCCACAGAAGCAGCACCGGCUAACUCCGUGCCAGCAGCCGCGGUAAUACGGAGGGUGCGAGCGUUAAUCGGAAUUACUGGGCGUAAAGCGCGCGUAGGCGGUCUGAUAAGCCGGUUGUGAAAGCCCCGGGCUCAACCUGGGAACGGCAUCCGGAACUGUCAGGCUAGAGUGCAGGAGAGGAAGGUAGAAUUCCCGGUGUAGCGGUGAAAUGCGUAGAGAUCGGGAGGAAUACCAGUGGCGAAGGCGGCCUUCUGGACUGACACUGACGCUGAGGUGCGAAAGCGUGGGUAGCAAACAGGAUUAGAUACCCCGGUAGUC